RNAcentral lists this ribosomal RNA (253 nucleotides) under uncultured bacterium. Its description in RNAcentral is "partial 16S ribosomal RNA". It matches the Rfam family "Bacterial small subunit ribosomal RNA", at positions 524 to 776 of the family's 1533-position model. The record is from RNAcentral.
GACAGAGGGUGCAAACGUUGUUCGGAACUACUGGGCGUAAAGCGCGUGUAGGCGGCUCGGAAAGUCGGAUGUGAAAGCCCUGGGCUCAACCUAGGAAGUGCAUUCGAAACUCCCGAGCUUGAGUUCUGGAGAGGAAGGCGGAAUUCUCGGUGUAGAGGUGAAAUUCGUAGAUAUCGAGAGGAACACCGGUGGCGAAGGCGGCCUUCUGGACAGUGACUGACGCUGAGACGCGAAAGCGUGGGGAGCAAACAGG